CGGGAAUCUAAGGAGACUGAUUGACCGCC
RNAcentral lists this non-coding RNA (29 nucleotides) under Rattus norvegicus (Norway rat). The record is from RNAcentral. Lineage: Eukaryota; Metazoa; Chordata; Mammalia; Rodentia; Muridae.